This 1272-nucleotide ribosomal RNA is filed under the name metagenome. Its description in RNAcentral is "bacterial SSU rRNA". It matches the Rfam family "Archaeal small subunit ribosomal RNA", at positions 167 to 1445 of the family's 1478-position model. The record is from RNAcentral.
CUAAAGGUAUUUCAUACAUGUUUGAAAUAUGCCUAAGGAUGGGGCUGCGGCCGAUCAGGCUGUUGGUGAGGUAAUGGCUCACCAAACCUUUGACCGGUACGGGCCAUGAGAGUGGUAGCCCGGAGAUGGACACCGAGACAAGGGUCCAGGCCCUAAGGGGCGCAGCAACCGCGAAACCUCCACAAUGCACUCACGUGCGAUGGGGCUAUCUCGAGUGCCACCUGAUGAAGGUGGCUUUUCCUUGGUCCUCAAAGCCUUGGGAAUAAGAGGGGGGCAAGACUGGUGUCAGCCGCCGCGGUAGCACCAGCCCCUCGAGUGGUGGGGAUGAUUAUUUGGCCUAAAGCGUCCGUAGCCGGCCGAGCAAGUCUUCCGUUAAAUCCAGCGUCUCAAGCGUUGGACCGCGGGAGAUACUACACGGCUAGAGAGUGGGAGAGGUCAGCGGUAUUCUGGGGGUAGGGGCGAAAUCCUUUGAUCCCCGGAGGACCACCAGUGGCGAAGGCUGCUGACUAGAACACGUCUGACGGUCAGGGACGAAAGCUGGGGUAGCGAACCGGAUUAGAUACCCGGGUAGUCCCAGCCGUAAACGAUGCAUGCUAGGUGUUGGGUUGGUCACGAGCCACCCCGGUGCCGCAGGGAAGCCGUUAAGCAUGCCGCCUGGGAAGUACGAUCGCAAGAUUGAAACUUAAAGGAAUUGGCGGGGGAGCACCACCAGGCGUUAAGCCUGCGGUUUAAUGGAGUCAACGCCGGGAACCUUACCGGGAGCGACAGCAGAAUGAAGGCCAGAUUGAAGAUCUUGCCAGACGAGCUGAGAGGAGGUGCAUGGCCGUCGCCAGUUCGUGCCGUGAGGUGUUCUCUUAAGUGAGAUAACGAACGAGACCCGUGCCACAUGUUGCCACCAGUAUCUAAAGGAUAGCUGAGCACUCCUGUGGGACCGCAGCCGAUAAGGCUGAGGAAGGUACGGGCAACGGCAGGUCAGUAUGCCCCGAAUCUCCCGGGCCACACGCGGGCUGCAAUGGUACAGACAGAGGGCUGCCACCCCGAAAGGGGGAGCCAAUCCCUAAACUGUACCUCAGUUGGGAUCGAGGGUUGCAACCCACCCUCGUGAACAUGGAAUGCCUAGUAACCGCCAGUCAUCAUCCGGCGGUGAAUACGUCCCUGCUCCUUGCACACACUGCCCGUCGAACCACCCGAAUGAGGUUUGGGUGAGGAAUGGUCGAAUGUUGGCCGUUUCGAACCUGGGCCUCGUAAGGAGGGUUAAGUCGUAACAAGGUG